AAUAAGUACAGCUAUGGAUAUCCGUGCCCAACAUUUGACCGUCCGUUUUAUUUAAAAAAAAUUUAUGAUUACUAUUUUUAUUGCUAUUAAAUGAUAAAACAUGAAUAUUACUUUAUGUGUGACUAAAUAUUUUCAAUUUUUUCACAAAAUUUUUAAAUAAGACGAAUGAUCAAACGUUGAACGUGAAUAGUGCAAAAUUGCACUUGUU
Molecule: microRNA precursor, 208 nt
Organism: Oryza rufipogon (brownbeard rice)
Lineage: Eukaryota; Viridiplantae; Streptophyta; Magnoliopsida; Poales; Poaceae
Rfam family: MIR812 microRNA precursor family
Source: Rfam